RNAcentral lists this ribosomal RNA (253 nucleotides) under uncultured bacterium. RNAcentral describes it as "partial 16S ribosomal RNA". It matches the Rfam family "Bacterial small subunit ribosomal RNA", at positions 524 to 776 of the family's 1533-position model. The record is from RNAcentral.
UACGGAGGGUGCGAGCGUUGUCCGGAAUCACUGGGCGUAAAGGGCGCGUAGGUGGCGGUCCAAGUCAACGGUGAAAGCUCGGGGCUCAACCCCGAGUCGGCCGUCGAUACUGGGUUGCUUGAGCACUGUAGAGGCAGAUGGAAUUCCGGGUGUAGCGGUGGAAUGCGUAGAGAUCCGGAAGAACACCGGUGGCGAAGGCGGUCUGCUGGGCAGUAGCUGACACUGAGGCGCGACAGCGUGGGGAGCGAUCCGG